Neodiprion fabricii is the source of this 802-nucleotide long non-coding RNA. RefSeq lists it as uncharacterized. The record is from RefSeq and is a predicted model, not a curated record. Lineage: Eukaryota; Metazoa; Arthropoda; Insecta; Hymenoptera; Diprionidae. The transcript is spliced from 3 exons.
AUGUGUAUGCCGUUCCAGUGGAAAUCAGGCACCAGUCAACUAAACAUGUACAUACAAUAACUUUCACGCUGCAAUUUUAUAUCCAUAUAUAUCAGAUACGUUUUACCAUAGUGAUGGAAAAGUUGAUACUUAGCAUCGUAGAUGCACGAAAAAUUUUCUCCGUCAGAAGUAGAUUUAGUGUAUCGCGUAUAUAAAGUAAAGGAGGAUGUGAAGCUUGUUUAAAUUGGUUUUUUUGAAGAAAAUAAAAGUUUAACGCGACAUAUUCCUGCAGCAAUGGAGAAGGUGUCUUACAGGUGCCUGUCUACCUACACACCUGACAUUUUACACCUGAACAUCAUUUCCGAGUGGUUUAAUUAACCGUAUAAUUAGACGGCUGACGUCUGACGCGGGAAUAAAAAGCAGCAACAAACGAGCUUAGUGGGUAUCGCUACUGGUUUUACCAUGUUAUCGGGGGAUGAAAAGCCAAAGGUCACUUGGCGCAGGGUAUUUUAUCUUAUAUGCAUGGAUAAUACAUAUGUCAGGCAGUACAUAAGACAGUAAAGGGGGAGGAUGAGUCAGUGCGUCGCGACGCCGGAUCAAUAUUAGCGACGAGGGUGUACGUAUGCAUUUAUACAUACGUAACACAUACCCUUUCCACCCUAAAAUCUCCCACCACUGCAAUCUUAAUUACUUUUCUCUCUGCGGCAGCUUGAGCCAAAGACCUUCUUUAAACCGGCUUGGUAAGGAAAAAUUCCGAAGUUUGUAUACAAUGUUGUGGGUAAUUAAUUGAUGGAAAAAAAAGAAUCGGUUUUUUCCUCACUCU